Molecule: long non-coding RNA, 898 nt
Organism: Brachypodium distachyon (stiff brome)
Lineage: Eukaryota; Viridiplantae; Streptophyta; Magnoliopsida; Poales; Poaceae
Exons: 2
Source: RefSeq, a predicted model, not a curated record
CGACAGAGUGACUCAGCAGGAGGAUAGUAGGAGCACCUUUGGGGCUGGGUCGACGGGGGCGAUGGACUCCAACAAGGGUGUCAACCACAAGCCGCUGGGAGACAGUGAUUUUUUUGGAUUGGUGAAAAAGGCCUAGUAGCAUUUCCAUUAAGAGAAUUUGUCUUUGAGUUUUGGUUGGUGACUCCGAAAGGGUGUCAACCAGGCAGGCCUUUGGUAGUAGGCAGCAGUCGCAGCGCUCGUCCCUUGGCACGUUUACAUAGGGAAAACAAUGACGUGGCGUUUGCAAAAAACGCAAGAAUCUUCUGCAAGCGACGUUCCGUGGCUCCUAACCCCACGCACAAAUUAACUGUGAUCGAUCCCGUGAGGCCAGCGAGCGAUUUUUCUCUUCCCCUUCCCCUUUCUUCCCCAACGCAAAUCAUUGCAGCUCCAAAUCCUCGCCGCUCUUGCCGUGAGAGCUCGCCGCAUGUGCACCAAUCGGGCCUCCGCCGCCCUCUCGACACAGGUUGCCGCCCUUCGCCGUAGCCAUAACUCAUGUUCAUCGCAAGCAGGAUGGUUUCUUGUCGAGUCAGCCCCACAGUGAGUGGCUCUCAGUGAAUUCAAUGCACAUACCGUCCUGAGUACAAUGGUUUGGACCGUGCAUGCAUGCCAGCGCAGCAAUGGCAAGCUGCAUAAGGUCUAAGCUCGACACUUGUCACCCAUGCAUCGAGACACUUGUGGUAUCCCCUUGAGUAUAAAAAGAGGACCAUUGCCAACGGUCAAGGGGUUCGGUUCGGUUCUUACUAGUUUUAGCCCAGAAAUAGCAAGUAGCACUUAGCAGAAAAGGAGAGAGCGCCUGGGGACUCCCCAGCAACUUGUAAACCUAGUUCAUUGGUUAAUACAAGCUCAGAAAUAGGAUGUA